CGGCUGGUAGCUCAAUCAGGUCAGAGCGUUUGUCUCAUAAACAAGGGGUUCCGGGUUCGAAUCCCGGCCAGCCGACCA
RNAcentral lists this transfer RNA (78 nucleotides) under Halobacteriovorax sp. RNAcentral describes it as "tRNA-Met". It matches the Rfam family "tRNA". From Rfam's summary of the family: Transfer RNA (tRNA) molecules are approximately 80 nucleotides in length. Their secondary structure includes four short double-helical elements and three loops (D, anti-codon, and T loops). Lineage: Bacteria; Pseudomonadati; Bdellovibrionota; Bacteriovoracia; Bacteriovoracales; Halobacteriovoraceae. The record is from RNAcentral.